GCGCCCGUAGCUCAGCUGGAUAGAGCGUUGGCCUCCGGAGCCAAAGGUCAGAGGUUCGAAUCCUCUCGGGCGCGCCG
This 77-nucleotide transfer RNA is filed under the name Sorangiineae bacterium NIC37A_2. Its description in RNAcentral is "tRNA-Arg". It matches the Rfam family "tRNA". From Rfam's summary of the family: Transfer RNA (tRNA) molecules are approximately 80 nucleotides in length. The record is from RNAcentral. Lineage: Bacteria; Pseudomonadati; Myxococcota; Myxococcia; Myxococcales.